Molecule: long non-coding RNA, 225 nt
Filed under: Elaeis guineensis (African oil palm)
Lineage: Eukaryota; Viridiplantae; Streptophyta; Magnoliopsida; Arecales; Arecaceae
Description: long non-coding RNA (EGUI_LNC055465)
Source: RNAcentral
UCAUCGAACCAGUCAUCAACCUGUCCAGCACUCACCUUGACCUGGCUCCCAGUAGGCUCCAUGUGCCAAUUUAAGGGAUCGUCGAUCCCUUUCCCCUAGAUGAGUCUCACAGAAGGGGAAAAGAUUGCAAUCUCCAUCAAGUUCUUUUGGGGAAGGCUCUACCCCAGGAUAUAUACUCAAUGCCCCGACGAAUCUCAAAGAUGGUUGGACGAAUACGAUCGUAAG